Transfer RNA from Neolecta irregularis DAH-3, 89 nucleotides. It matches the Rfam family "tRNA". From Rfam's summary of the family: Transfer RNA (tRNA) molecules are approximately 80 nucleotides in length. Their secondary structure includes four short double-helical elements and three loops (D, anti-codon, and T loops). NCBI's taxonomy places the organism in Eukaryota, Fungi, Ascomycota, Neolectomycetes, Neolectales, Neolectaceae. The record is from Rfam.
GACUAAGUGGUGUAGCGGUAACAUUGUAGCCUUCCACUUGAGACUGUCUCAGUAAGCUGUAGCUCCGGGUUCGACUCCCGGCUUAGUCA